GAUUUAUUCUAGUGGGAAGACAAGACACAGAACUCUUGCAGGGAAACAGGGGACCAGAUAGUAGGUUGACAUUUGAACUAGGGGUUUAUAUAGCCCUUUGGUGAACACUGUUAGUCCAAAUUCAUGCUAAUCAGAGUUCUUUUUUUUUUUUUUUUUUUGGUACUGGGGAUUGAACUCAGGAUCAUUCAACCACUGAGCCACAUCCCCAUCUCUAAUUUUAUUUAAAGACAGGGUCUCACUGAGUUCCUUAUUGUCUUGCUGUUGCUGAGGCUGGCUUUGAACUCACAAUCCUCCUGUCUCAGCCUCCCAAGCCACUGGGAUUAAAGGCAAGUGCCACUGCUCCUGGCUUAAUCAGGUGUUAGAAAAUACCAAUGCUACUGGUUAGCCCUGGUCUGAACUUUCAGGUCUGCCCCCACUUCUAGUUUUCCUGAUGCUCAUGGGGGAAGUGGGAGGUUGAGGUCAGAGGAUCAUGGAUGCUCCAGGGUUCAGGUGGAUGGUGCUAUGUGGACUAGGUGUCCCUACCAGCCCAGGCUCAGCUAUUGAGGUGUGACAGGUCCACUCACUGUGGGGUGCCUCGGCCCUGGCUUGCCAUGCCUCAGGCCCACACUGGCAUGGUGGGCUCUGUGGGCCACAACCUGUGCUCACUGUCCAUACUCAAACCCACCUGGGCCACUGUUUCUGGGACUUGGCUUAGAUUCACUUUCCUUUCCCAGCACCACAUCACAUCAUCUCAAAACAGGACAAGCUGAAAAUACUGAGGCUUAUUUUUGAGCUCAGCUUCUUGGGGAAGAGACAACAAAAUCAAACUUCCACCAGGAGUUUGUUUUAAAAAGCAAAUUACCACACAAAAAAAGCAAAUUCCCAGAAAUAUUUAGAUGUUAGUUUUCAGUUAACCCCCCCACACCAGGCACUCCCACUGACAGUUGGAGGCAAGCAGAAUACUCACCAAAAAGCUGGCAGGCUUCAGAGACCCUGCUUCUCACAAGUAAUUACCGCACAAGGGUCUGCAAUGAGCACCUCUCCUCAGACCCUCUCCAUCACUCCAGCUUUCCGCAUUAACUAGAAAUGAGCAGCCAGGGCCCACAAGCAAGGCCACCCCAGAUGCCACAACCUGGGCCUGUGAAUGACACUGCACUCAUUCUGACAUGGGCCAGGCCAUUGCACCUGGGCUCUCCGCUCCUCCUCUGGCCCCAGCCACAAUGUCCCACCCCUCACGGCAUGUGCUGUCUUACACUGUGUCCCACCCAGGCCCCUUCCUGGCAUAGGGUGCCUGUCUCCCACGGGUGCCUGGUUUUCUGGUUGAAGCACAAAUGCUACUUCUU
This 1322-nucleotide long non-coding RNA is filed under the name Marmota monax (woodchuck). The record is from RNAcentral. Lineage: Eukaryota; Metazoa; Chordata; Mammalia; Rodentia; Sciuridae.